CCUGUAAGACUGGGAUAACUCCGGGAAACCGGAGCUAAUACCGGAUAGUUCCUUGAACCGCAUGGUUCAAGGAUGAAAGACGGUUUCGGCUGUCACUUACAGAUGGACCCGCGGCGCAUUAGCUAGUUGGUGAGGUAACGGCUCACCAAGGCGACGAUGCGUAGCCGACCUGAGAGGGUGAUCGGCCACACUGGGACUGAGACACGGCCCAGACUCCUACGGGAGGCAGCAGUAGGGAAUCUUCCGCAAUGGACGAAAGUCUGACGGAGCAACGCCGCGUGAGUGAUGAAGGUUUUCGGAUCGUAAAGCUCUGUUGUUAGGGAAGAACAAGUGCAAGAGUAACUGCUUGCACCUUGACGGUACCUAACCAGAAAGCCACGGCUAACUACGUGCCAGCAGCCGCGGUAAUACGUAGGUGGCAAGCGUUGUCCGGAAUUAUUGGGCGUAAAGGGCUCGCAGGCGGUUUCUUAAGUCUGAUGUGAAAGCCCCCGGCUCAACCGGGGAGGGUCAUUGGAAACUGGGAAACUUGAGUGCAGAAGAGGAGAGUGGAAUUCCACGUGUAGCGCUGAAAUGCGUAGAGAUGUGGAGGAACACCAGUGGCGAAGGCGACUCUCUGGUCUGUAACUGACGCUGAGGAGCGAAAGCGUGGGGAGCGAACAGGAUUAGAUACCCUGGUAGUCCACGCCGUAAACGAUGAGUGCUAAGUGUUAGGGGGUUUCCGCCCCUUAGUGCUGCAGCUAACGCAUUAAGCACUCCGCCUGGCGAGUACGGUCGCAAGACUGAAACUCAAAGGAAUUGACGGGGGCCCGCACAAGCGGUGGAGCAUGUGGUUUAAUUCGAAGCAACGCGAAGAACCUUACCAGGUCUUGACAUCCUCUGACAACCCUAGAGAUAGGGCUUUCCCUUCGGGGACAGAGUGACAGGUGGUGCAUGGUUGUCGUCAGCUCGUGUCGUGAGAUGUUGGGUUAAGUCCCGCAACGAGCGCAACCCUUGAUCUUAGUUGCCAGCAUUCAGUUGGGCACUCUAAGGUGACUGCCGGUGACAAACCGGAGGAAGGUGGGGAUGACGUCAAAUCAUCAUGCCCCUUAUGACCUGGGCUACAC
RNAcentral lists this ribosomal RNA (1103 nucleotides) under Bacillus altitudinis. RNAcentral describes it as "bacterial SSU rRNA". It matches the Rfam family "Bacterial small subunit ribosomal RNA", at positions 129 to 1219 of the family's 1533-position model. Lineage: Bacteria; Bacillati; Bacillota; Bacilli; Caryophanales; Bacillaceae. The record is from RNAcentral.